UAGUUCAAAGGUUAGAACAGUGGGCUGUUAACCCUCAGAUGUAGGUUCGAGUCCUACCUUCUCAG
RNAcentral lists this transfer RNA (65 nucleotides) under Crassvirales sp. RNAcentral describes it as "tRNA-Asn". It matches the Rfam family "tRNA". Rfam says of the family: Transfer RNA (tRNA) molecules are approximately 80 nucleotides in length. Their secondary structure includes four short double-helical elements and three loops (D, anti-codon, and T loops). The record is from RNAcentral. Lineage: Duplodnaviria; Heunggongvirae; Uroviricota; Caudoviricetes; Crassvirales.